GUCAAGCUUGGAGAAACUGAAGAUUUGAAACUAGUUAAGAGUUACUUGAGUAUGUGCUCCAGCAAAAAGAAUGAGUGAAUGAAGAGAGAGGAAGAUAUAGUCUAUGGCAGUGUAAAUUUAAUUUACAAAAUUAAUAAAGGAAAGUACAAUGAUGAUGGCUCUACAGUUGAUCUAGAGAACCUAUCUACAGGUCAGAAUAAACCAGAGAAGAGUCACGUCUAGGAAGGAUGUUUGAAAUGUUACAUUAGGAGGCUGACAGCUGUUCCUUCCUGAGGUUUGGAGGUGAGAAUUAUUGACAUAACCCCAGUAUCAUGGAGCACUCCUCUCUGCAAGUGUAAAGUGCUGUGUGUUGUUUGAAGAACACUGCAUGUGCUAUCUUCCUCAGUACU
This 389-nucleotide long non-coding RNA is filed under the name Homo sapiens (human). Its description in RNAcentral is "HSALNT0348032". The record is from RNAcentral. Lineage: Eukaryota; Metazoa; Chordata; Mammalia; Primates; Hominidae.